This 130-nucleotide small RNA is filed under the name unclassified sequences. RNAcentral's name for it is "LOOT RNA". It matches the Rfam family "LOOT RNA". Rfam says of the family: Latescibacteria, OD1/Parcubacteria, OP11, TM7. Lineage (Microgenomates, aka OP11) The record is from Rfam by way of RNAcentral.
GACCUAACCCCUAUGUUUUCAUAAGGUAUGGUUAAAAAUCCUAUCCUACAUAAAAAUGGUUUUCCAACCAGUACUUGUAGGAUAGGUCUAUGCUCGAAAGGGUGUAGUGGCAUUUUCGCAAGGACUUGUC